Molecule: long non-coding RNA, 2006 nt
Filed under: Marmota monax (woodchuck)
Lineage: Eukaryota; Metazoa; Chordata; Mammalia; Rodentia; Sciuridae
Source: RNAcentral
AAAUUAUUGUACUUAAAAUAUUAUAGCAAAUUGGGUAAUUUUAAAAAUAAGUUUCUUUAUCUUAAUACAUAUGAUUGAAACUUUACAACUUAAAGAUUAUUUUUUCAAACCUGAGCUCAAUGAAUUACAACUCACUAGGUGCAAAAAUUAAAAAUUAGGCAGAGAAUUUGUAUAUUAAAAACAAGAAUAGGACUGGGGAUGUGGCUCAAGUGGUAGCACAUUUGCCUGGCAUGUGCACGGCACUGGGUUCGAUCCUCAGCACCACAUACGAAAUAAAAGAUUUUGUGUCUGCAGAAAACUAAUAAAUAAAUAAAUAAAUACUAAAAAUUUCUCUCUCUCUCUAUCUCUCUCUCUCCCUCUAAAAAAAAAGCUUAAAAAUAAUUUAAAAUAAUGGAUGGCUAUUAUAAAACCUGGAAGAUAAUGUUGAAAAGAUUCUUCAGAGAGAAAACAGAAGAUAAGUCCAGAAGAAUAAAUUUCCCUAACAUAUUCUAAAAUGAGAAUAUGUAAGAGGGGAAAUAAAACAUGAAAAAGGAGAAUUUCCUACUGCUGAGUGGAAAUGUAAAUCUUCAAAGAGUUUAGUCUUCCAGAAAGGAAAAAGUGGUCAUGAGUAGUGGUGCCAAACCCACAGUUGUCCCUAAGUUACCACCAGUCUCCCUGUCUAAAGACACGGGAGAAGUUCUUUCAAGUUUUUUGAGAUAAGGUUUCAAACUAAAAUUCCAAGCCAGUCAACCUUUCUUUAAACUAGGAGCUAAACAUAAAGACCAUGGUGUCUACACAGACUUCAUAUCCUGUGAUAUUACUGUGUAUGUGUUUUAAACAAUUUCAUCUGUUGCCUUAUGAAUUUUUAAAAAUGACUGUAUUCUGUAAUGGAGUCCUUUGUAAAUUACCUGAUAAAUAUUGAAUAAGAAAAAGUUAUCCACCAUAGCUAGAAUAUCAAUUAGGACAUGGUGAAAGGCAUUAAAAUUAGCUAAUCUAGUGAACUAGAGGUGAAAGGGUCUGAGAAAUGAAUGUAAAUGUGCUAGUUUACAUUUAACUUCUGGAUUCUUACCAAGUAUCCAUUAAAAUAUAAGAUUUGAAGAAAAAUAUUUCCCUAGACAGUGUGUACUAGUCUGCCCUUUGUCUUGGCUAAGGGAGGUCAGACCUCAUAGACCACCUCCAUUCCUCCUUGAGAUAGCCCUGCAUGCUGUGUGGUCCUGCACUGGCUUUGGCCUUAUUCUUCAGUUCCUACUGCCCUGUAGCACUUUUUGCUCUGACAUUAUUCAAAUAGUGCUUUUCAAAGCCUCAUUCUGGGUGGUUCUACACGUUCUAUAUUAUGAGCAACAAACAAACGGUGAUCACUAAUUAUUGAUGAACUUCUAAGGCAAAUUACUACUAAAAAUAGACAAAAAGAGAUUUUCUUUAACUGUUUUAAGACCUAAAUAUAAUUACUCAAAAACUUGUUCUUCAUUGUUUUUGUUUUUGGUGUCACAGUGGAAAGAUGUGAGAGAGACACAUGGACAGACACAGGGGAUGUAUAAAAUUUUCUGAGGUUAAACCUUGUUGUGCACACCCAUUUCUCAAGUCUUUCCUUGGAAUUCUGAUUUCUUUUCUCUAAUAUACUAAAUCAUUAAGAUUUGGUAAAUUAGAAUACUUAUUAGUUUUGACUUUACAUCAAAAUUGAUUCUAGAUAUUUUCUUGCCAAGAAUUUAUUUAUUUCAUGAUCCUCAGAUUUUUGAGGCUUACUUAAUAUUCUUAUCAUCUUUCUCUUAUGCUUGCAUUACUCAGAGACAAAAUUGCUGUAGUCUUUCAUAUGUAUUUCUUAAGGGUAGAAAUUUCAGUGUAUUUGUUGGGUAUCAAAAAUAUUUUAAUUUAAUCUCAUGGUAAAGUAACUCUAAAUACUCCUUUCAAUGUUUCUACAUUUUCAAAUUGAGGUUUCUUUAGAGCAUAUUUUACUGAGUAUUUGUGUUUCACAAUAACAGACUCAGAAAUUUCAGUCACUAAAAGCCAUUUAUUUACUGAGAUAUGUA